This 64-nucleotide transfer RNA is filed under the name Nactus vankampeni. Its description in RNAcentral is "tRNA-Cys". Lineage: Eukaryota; Metazoa; Chordata; Lepidosauria; Squamata; Gekkonidae. The record is from RNAcentral.
AGUCCCGGGCGAGAGCGCACCAAAGUGCAAAUUUGGAGCAGCACCCAAGAAGGUGCCGGGGCUU